RNAcentral lists this ribosomal RNA (1425 nucleotides) under Triticum aestivum (bread wheat). Its description in RNAcentral is "partial small subunit ribosomal RNA". The record is from RNAcentral. Lineage: Eukaryota; Viridiplantae; Streptophyta; Magnoliopsida; Poales; Poaceae.
AUGCAAGGCGCACAAUCAAGAUUGCGAGAGCGCAUCGAGAACAUGUCCAUCGACAUUCGUCACUCCGAAGCAAGGAAAAGGGACUACAUCGACAAGAAGCUUUCCGCACAUAAAGAGGAGCAAGAUGCAAGGAUGGAGGAGAUUAGAGCCUUGAUCAAGUCUUCUUCCCCUUCGUCAUCUUCAAGGUGGCGACAUUCAAGCCACAAGUCUUCGAAGCGCGAAAAAGAUGCAAGUGCAAAUCGUCCUCGUCCACAUCUACAUGGCGACCACCAUCACGUUCGUGAUCAACAUCGUCAUGAAGGGCAAGUCACCUCCAAGCAUCAUGUGCACGACGACGACGAACGACAUCUUCUACGAGCUCAAGCACGACAACAACAUCAUCAUCAUGAAGAUGCUCCACAAGCGCAAAUGCACAAGUCCCAACAAGCCCUACUUCACGCCAAGUCCAAGCUUCAUGAGCACAAAAGAAGACCGCGAGACGACCACUACCAAGACGGUGCUACGACUACAACAACCACUUCGGCAUCUUCGCCAAGUGCUAUCAAGGCAUCUUCGCCUUUGGACGUACAACAUCUUUGCCUACUUCUGACGGGUAUGCCUACAUCGACUUCAUCAAGUCCAAGGCUGCUACCUACGAGUGAGGGCGACACUUCCACCUUUGGAAGCCCCUCAAGGAUGAUGGCCGAGCAUGGGAAACUCCCUUCGGUCAUGGAGACGAGCUACGAGGUGCCACAUCAUUUGGGCCUCCAACACCAAGACGGUGACAAGACAGUCGAGCAAGGGCCAUCCCCUUCGACUACGGCGACGAGCAGGAACCUCUUCAACAACAUGAAGACGACGCCCACAUUGGACUCAUACUCCGAGUCAAGCUAUGCGACCGCGCAUGGAGACACUUGCACCAACAUCUCUCUGACACCCACAUAUGUUGAGAUGCCCCAUUUGCCAUGUGAGGAGAGCCACCACCACAUGAGUGACAUGAGUGACUCCACCAUACGUGACAUUGAGAGCAUUUCCUAUGAGAGGAUGAGUGUGACCACCACUAGCCCCACACAUGAGAGCAUGCCACACAUCCUAUGUGAGGUUGAGUGCCAUUUGAGUGACUCCACCAACCAUAUGAGUGAGAGCAUCCUUGAGGGAGUGAGUGAGCCACAACACUUAGUGAGUGAGGUAGUUGACACGGCAUGUGAGGCCACUAUGAUUUCUAACGAAUUAACCUCUACUCCUAGUGUGUUUUCUUCUUUGGUGCUAGGUCUCCUACAUGACGACCCGUCUAUCCUCGACGAGUCCAUCCCUCCAAUGGAGAUGACGAUGGCCAUGGUGGACAAUGAUGCACCCCCACAUGGUUCCAUCAAGAUGAAGAUGACAACAAGACGAUCUUCAACACCUCACCUACAACACAUGAGCGACGCUCCAACGGUAACAUAG